This 301-nucleotide ribosomal RNA is filed under the name uncultured bacterium. Its description in RNAcentral is "partial 16S ribosomal RNA". It matches the Rfam family "Bacterial small subunit ribosomal RNA", at positions 509 to 808 of the family's 1533-position model. The record is from RNAcentral.
CAGUCGCCGCGGGAAUACAGAGGGUGCGAGCGUUAAUCGGAUUUACUGGGCGUAAAGCGUGCGUAGGCGGCUUUUUAAGUCGGAUGUGAAAUCCCUGAGCUUAACUUAGGAAUUGCAUUCGAUACUGGGAAGCUAGAGUAUGGGAGAGGAUGGUAGAAUUCCAGGUGUAGCGGUGAAAUGCGUAGAGAUCUGGAGGAAUACCGAUGGCGAAGGCAGCCAUCUGGCCUAAUACUGACGCUGAGGUACGAAAGCAUGGGGAGCAAACAGGAUUAGAUACCCCUGAGUCCCUGUCUCUUAUACA